Molecule: ribosomal RNA, 253 nt
Filed under: uncultured bacterium
Lineage: Bacteria
Description: partial 16S ribosomal RNA
Rfam family: Bacterial small subunit ribosomal RNA
Source: RNAcentral
UACGUAGGGGGCAAGCGUUGUCCGGAUUUAUUGGGCGUAAAGAGCGUGUAGGCGGCCAUACAGGUCAGCUGUGAAAACUCGAGGCUCAACCUCGAGACGUCGGUUGAAACCGUAUGGCUAGAGUCCGGAAGAGGAGAGUGGAAUUCCCGGUGUAGCGGUGAAAUGCGCAGAGAUCAGGAGGAACACCGGUGGCGAAGGCGGGUCUCUGGGCCGGAACUGACGCUGAGGAGCGAAAGCGUGGGGAGCGAACAGG